UUUGGUCGUCUCUCCUUGGGGGCGCAAUGGGGACUUAGAGUUGCCUAGGGCUUUGUUGACAGCCCAGUUCUUCUGGAGGGCGCGGAAGCCGGAGGUCUCGGGCCACCGUCCGGCCCAGGCGGGACCCCGUAGGGCCGGGGUCUGUCCUCGACUUCGACCCUGGGUGCGGUGUCCCCAGUUCGGGUCUUCCCUCGGGCGCGGGUGGAGCAGAGCUGCAUCUUCACCGUCCUCUGCACUCUUCCAAGACCCACUGGAAACGAACACAUCUGAGGGGAGCUCUUGAUUCAUUUCCCCAAUUUGUGAUUGGUGAGCAGUGUGCCUUCACAGACAUCAGUGCCAUUCAAGGACGUGAGUGUGGCGUUUACCCAGGAGGAGUGGCAGCAUGUGAACCCUGCUCAGAGGACCCUGAACAGAGCUGUGAUGCUGGAGAACCAUAGCCACCUUGUCGCACUGGGUGAGCCUACUUUAUUAUAGGACUCUGACUCGAGUGCAAUUGAUCUUCUGUUCCUGCUUUUUUUGAAGUAUAUUACCUGUAUUAAGUAAUUGACAAAAUAAAAUUUAACACGUUUCUGUGUAUAAUAGAAUGAGUUCUGGAAAAUACGUACAGCUAUGCCACCAAAAUCACAAUACAGAUUAUUUCUGUUAUGUGAAAGUUUUCGUUGGAUGUUUUCUGUCCUCUCUUGACACCUAUUUUCUGAUAAUCACUGAUCCUCUUUUUGUUUCAAUACUUUCUCUCCGUCCGCCACAAGUUUUU
Cervus elaphus (red deer) is the source of this 754-nucleotide long non-coding RNA. RefSeq lists it as uncharacterized. Lineage: Eukaryota; Metazoa; Chordata; Mammalia; Artiodactyla; Cervidae. The record is from RefSeq and is a predicted model, not a curated record. The transcript is spliced from 3 exons.